AACUUUCAACAACGGAUCUCUUGGUUCUGGCAUCGAUGGAAGAACGCAGCAAAAUGCGAUAAGUAAUGUGAAUUGCAGAAUUCAGUGAAUCAUCGAAUCUUUGAACGCACAUUGCGCCCGCCAGUAUUCUGGCGGGCAUGCC
This 142-nucleotide ribosomal RNA is filed under the name Fusarium culmorum. RNAcentral's name for it is "5.8S ribosomal RNA". It matches the Rfam family "5.8S ribosomal RNA". Rfam says of the family: 5.8S ribosomal RNA (5.8S rRNA) is a component of the large subunit of the eukaryotic ribosome. Lineage: Eukaryota; Fungi; Ascomycota; Sordariomycetes; Hypocreales; Nectriaceae. The record is from RNAcentral.